This 469-nucleotide ribosomal RNA is filed under the name uncultured bacterium. Its description in RNAcentral is "bacterial SSU rRNA". It matches the Rfam family "Bacterial small subunit ribosomal RNA", at positions 335 to 789 of the family's 1533-position model. The record is from RNAcentral.
ACUCCGUACGGGAGGCAGCAGGUAGGGAAUCUUCCACAAUGGGCGCAAGCCUGAUGGAGCAACACCGCGUGAGUGAAGAAGGGUUUCGGCUCGUAAAGCUCUGUUGUUAAAGAAGAACACGUAUGAGAGUAACUGUUCAUACGUUGACGGUAUUUAACCAGAAAGUCACGGCUAAACUACGUGCCAGCAGCCGCGGUAAUACGUAGGUGGCAAGCGUUAUCCGGAUUUAUUGGGCGUAAAGAGAGUGCAGGCGGUUUUCUAAGUCUGAUGUGAAAGCCUUCGGCUUAACCGGAGAAGUGCAUCGGAAACUGGAUAACUUGAGUGCAGAAGAGGGUAGUGGAACUCCAUGUGUAGCGGUGAAAUGCGUAGAGAUCUGAAGGAAUACCAGUGGCGAAGGCGGCCCCCGUGGACAAACGACUGACGCUCAGAUGCGAAAGGCGUGGGGAGCGAAACAGGAUUAGAUACCCGU